UAAGCAUAUCAAUAAGCGGAGGAAAAGAAACUAACAAGGAUUCCCCUAGUAACGGCGAGUGAAGCGGGAAGAGCUCAAAUUUGAAAGCUGGCACCUUCGGUGUCCGCGUUGUAAUCUCGAGAAGUGUUUUCCGUGCUGGACCAUGUACAAGUUCCUUGGAAUAGGACGUCAUAGAGGGUGAAAAUCCCGUACUUGACAUGGACGCCCAGUGCUUUGUGAUACACUCUCCACGAGUCGAGUUGUUUGGGAAUGCAGCUCAAAAUGGGUGGUAAAUUCCAUCUAAAGCUAAAUAUUGGGGAGAGACCGAUAGCGAACAAGUACCGUGAGGGAAAGAUGAAAAGCACUUUGGAAAGAGAGUUAAACAGUACGUGAAAUUGUCGAAAGGGAAGCGCUUGAAGUUAGACAUGCUUGCCGGGAUUCAGCCUUGCUUUUGCUUGGUGCAUUUCCCGGUGUGCAGGCCAGCAUCAGUUUUGUUUGCCGGAUAAGGGUGAGAGGAAUGUGGCCCCUCGGGGUGUUAUAGCCUCUCACUGGAUACGGCGGAUGGGACUGAGGACCGCAGUGUGCCUUUAUGGCGGGCCUUCGGGCACCUUCACACUUAGGAUGCUGGCGUAAUGGCUUUAAGCGACCCGUCUUGAAACACGGACCGAGGAGUCUAAC
Molecule: ribosomal RNA, 657 nt
Filed under: Quambalaria simpsonii
Lineage: Eukaryota; Fungi; Basidiomycota; Exobasidiomycetes; Microstromatales; Quambalariaceae
Description: eukaryotic LSU rRNA
Rfam family: Eukaryotic large subunit ribosomal RNA
Source: RNAcentral